This 461-nucleotide ribosomal RNA is filed under the name uncultured bacterium. Its description in RNAcentral is "bacterial SSU rRNA". It matches the Rfam family "Bacterial small subunit ribosomal RNA", at positions 343 to 796 of the family's 1533-position model. The record is from RNAcentral.
UGGAGGCAGCAGUGGGGAAUUUUGGACAAUGGGCGCAAGCCUGAUCCAGCCAUUCCGCGUGAGUGAAGAAGGCCUUCGGGUUGUAAAGCUCUUUCGGCAGGAACGAAACGGUUUGGGCUAAUACCCUGAGCUAAUGACGGUACCUGAAGAAGAAGCACCGGCUAACUACGUGCCAGCAGCCGCGGUAAUACGUAGGGUGCGAGCGUUAAUCGGAAUUACUGGGCGUAAAGCGUGCGCAGGCGGCGCUAUAAGACAGAUGUGAAAUCCCCGGGCUUAACCUGGGAACUGCGUUUGUGACUGUAGUGCUCGAGUGUGGCAGAGGGGGGUGGAAUUCCACGUGUAGCAGUGAAAUGCGUAGAGAUGUGGAGGAACACCGAUGGCGAAGGCAGCCCCCUGGGUCAACACUGACGCUCAUGCACGAAAGCGUGGGUAGCAAACAGGAUUAGAUGCCCUAGUAGUCC